AAGCCUGAAGGCAGAAGGAGGCGUGGCCCACACUUGAGGUGGGGCCCUGUGAGCACCAGGGUGUUUUCAUGUCUGGAGGGGAUACCUGGAAAUGCCAAAGCCAUCUUGCCAUCAGCCUGAGAAUGGACCCAACGACUGAGGAUGGAGGAACACAAAAUGCACUUUGGCUCUUUCUGUGGUCCAUCCGGCAGCAUGCAAUGUCCUUGACCCACAGAUGGUA
This is a long non-coding RNA of Balaenoptera acutorostrata (minke whale), 220 nucleotides long. RefSeq lists it as uncharacterized. The transcript has 3 exons. The record is from RefSeq and is a predicted model, not a curated record. Lineage: Eukaryota; Metazoa; Chordata; Mammalia; Artiodactyla; Balaenopteridae.